Molecule: non-coding RNA, 72 nt
Organism: Steinernema glaseri
Lineage: Eukaryota; Metazoa; Nematoda; Chromadorea; Rhabditida; Steinernematidae
Source: Rfam
GGCCGAGUGGUCUAGUGGUACGAUGCCUGCUUCGGGUGCAGGAGGUCCCGGGUUCAAACCCCGGCUCGGCCC